Molecule: ribosomal RNA, 253 nt
Filed under: uncultured bacterium
Lineage: Bacteria
Description: partial 16S ribosomal RNA
Rfam family: Bacterial small subunit ribosomal RNA
Source: RNAcentral
UACGUAGGGUGCAAGCGUUAAUCGGAAUUACUGGGCGUAAAGCGUGCGCAGGCGGUGAUGUAAGACAGUUGUGAAAUCCCCGGGCUCAACCUGGGAACUGCAUCUGUGACUGCAUCGCUGGAGUGCGGCAGAGGGGGAUGGAAUUCCGCGUGUAGCAGUGAAAUGCGUAGAUAUGCGGAGGAACACCGAUGGCGAAGGCAGCUCUCUGGGUCCCUACCGACGCUGGGGUGCGAAAGCUUGGGGAGCGAACAGG